This 593-nucleotide ribosomal RNA is filed under the name Priceomyces sp. NYNU 14451. RNAcentral's name for it is "eukaryotic LSU rRNA". The stretch from base 206 to 359 matches the Rfam family "5.8S ribosomal RNA". Lineage: Eukaryota; Fungi; Ascomycota; Pichiomycetes; Serinales; Debaryomycetaceae. The record is from RNAcentral.
AAGGAUCAUUACAGUAUUCUUUUUGCCAGCGCUUAACUGCGCGGCGAAAAAACCUUACACACAUUGUUUUUGUUUUUCAUAGAACAUUGCUUUGGCUUGUCUCUAGAAAUAGAGUUGGGCCAAAGGUUUAACUAAACUUCAAUUUAUUUUGAAUCAUUUUUAUUAUUAAGUCAAAUUAUUUGAUUAACUUCAAAAAAAUUUUUAAAACUUUCAACAACGGAUCUCUUGGUUCUCGCAUCGAUGAAGAACGCAGCGAAAUGCGAUAAGUAAUAUGAAUUGCAGAUUUUCGUGAAUCAUCGAAUCUUUGAACGCACAUUGCGCCCUCUGGUAUUCCAGAGGGCAUGCCUGUUUGAGCGUCAUUUCUCUCUCAAACCUUCGGGUUUGGUAUUGAGUGAUACUCUUAGUCGAACUAGGCGUUUGCUUGAAAAUUAUUGGCAUGAGUGGUACUAGAUAGUACUUCAGAUUUUUUCAAUGUAUUAGGUUUAUCCAACUCGUUGAAUAGUCUGGUGUAAUUUGUUUAGUAACAUUGGCUCGGCCUUAUAACAACAAACAAGUUUGACCUCAAAUCAGGUAGGAUUACCCGCUGAACUUAA